Molecule: ribosomal RNA, 301 nt
Filed under: uncultured bacterium
Lineage: Bacteria
Description: partial 16S ribosomal RNA
Rfam family: Archaeal small subunit ribosomal RNA
Source: RNAcentral
CAGCAGCCGCGGUAAUACCGGCAGCACGAGUGAUGACCGCUAUUAUUGGGCCUAAAGCGUCCGUAGCUGGCCACGCAAGUCCGUCGGGAAAUCCGCGCGCUUAACGCGCGGGCGUCCGGUGGAAACUGUGUGGCUUGGGACCGGAAGAUCCAGAGGGUACGUCCGGGGUAGGAGUGAAAUCCCGUAAUCCUGGACGGACCACCGGUGGCGAAAGCGCUCUGGAAAGACGGAUCCGACGGUGAGGGACGAAAGCUCGGGUCACGAACCGGAUUAGAUACCCCCGUAGUCCCUGUCUCUUAUA